Molecule: ribosomal RNA, 495 nt
Filed under: uncultured bacterium
Lineage: Bacteria
Description: partial 16S ribosomal RNA
Rfam family: Bacterial small subunit ribosomal RNA
Source: RNAcentral
GACGAACGCUGGCGGCGUGCCUAAUACAUGUAAGUAGAACGCUGAAGGAGGAGCUUGCUUCUCUGGAUGAGUUGCGAACGGGUGAGUAACGCGUAGGUAACCUGCCUGGUAGCGGGGGAUAACUAUUGGAAACGAUAGCUAAUACCGCAUAAGAGUAGAUGUUGCAUGACAUUUACUUAAAAGGUGCAAUUGCAUCACUACCAGAUGGACCUGCGUUGUAUUAGCUAGUUGGUGAGGUAACGGCUCACCAAGGCAACGAUACAUAGCCGACCUGAGAGGGUGAUCGGUCACACUGGGACUGAGACACGGCCCAGACUCCUACGGGAGGCAGCAGUAGGGAAUCUUCGGCAAUGGACGGAAGUCUGACCGAGCAACGCCGCGUGAGUGAAGAAGGUUUUCGGAUCGUAAAGCUCUGUUGUAAGAGAAGAACGAGUGUGAGAGUGGAAAGUUCACACUGUGACGGUAUCUUACCAGAAAGGGACGGCUAACUACGUG